RNAcentral lists this long non-coding RNA (713 nucleotides) under Sus scrofa (pig). RNAcentral's name for it is "lncRNA (ENSSSCG00015009837.1)". Lineage: Eukaryota; Metazoa; Chordata; Mammalia; Artiodactyla; Suidae. The record is from RNAcentral.
UCCUUGUCCUCUGCCACAAUAGAGAGAGCCACCUGUGCACAGCACUGUGCUGUGUACUGACAGAAGCAGGCUAAAGAGAAUGGGAAUUUUGAGUCAUGGUAGCAUUUCCAAAUCACAGCAUCCAGAAGUCUUGUGUAGAUGAGAGAAGCCAGUCACCAGGUAUCACUAGCAGGCAUCUUUCUGAAGUGGGUCUUUUGCCCACAACCUGCAGGCUCCAUGGAAAUGGUGCUAAGACUUGAAAUUGCCCCUUUCCUCUCCUAUGAUGGCUGUAAUUCAAACGCCAGCAUCUGUAAGUCAGUUUGUGCUUCUCUCCCUCCCUCCUCCUCUCCUUUCUCCUUCCUUUCUGUCGUCCCCACCCCUGCAGAAGUGAGUAUGCACACACACACAGGUCUUGCAGUCACUCGCUGUAAUGCCUUGUCUGAAACCUGUAUCCAUAACUGAUCUCACUUGUUUCAAGUUCUAAUUUACCAAAACUCAUACUCUGGAAAUUUUUCCUGUCCUUUGUAAAGGAAAUUAAUUGCAAAAAUUUAAGUAACGCCACAUCUCGGACCUUUAGCAUCUCCUGUCACCCUACCUCGUCUACACACACAGCAGCCAGAAGGACAGUUCCAAGUGUCAAGUCACUGUUAGGAAGUGAAUGUCUGCAUGCCACUGUCCCCCCUGGCCCCACCCCCACCCCAGCCGAAUUCAUGUGCUGAAGCCUUAGCCCCCAG